GGUUCCAUAGUGUAGCAGUUAGCACAUUUGCUUUACACACAGAAGGUCCUGGGUUUGUGCCCCAGUGGAGCCA
Non-coding RNA from Pteropus alecto (black flying fox), 73 nucleotides. The record is from Rfam. Lineage: Eukaryota; Metazoa; Chordata; Mammalia; Chiroptera; Pteropodidae.